RNAcentral lists this ribosomal RNA (503 nucleotides) under uncultured bacterium. RNAcentral's name for it is "partial 16S ribosomal RNA". It matches the Rfam family "Bacterial small subunit ribosomal RNA", at positions 30 to 523 of the family's 1533-position model. The record is from RNAcentral.
AUUGAACGCUGGCGGCAGGCUUAACACAUGCAAGUCGAGCGGAGUGAUGGUGCUUGCACUAUCACUUAGCGGCGGACGGGUGAGUAAUGCUUAGGAAUCUGCCUAUUAGUGGGGGACAACAUCUCGAAAGGGAUGCUAAUACCGCAUACGUCCUACGGGAGAAAGCAGGGGAUCACUUGUGACCUUGCGCUAAUAGAUGAGCCUAAGUGGGAUUAGCUAGUUGGUGGGGUAAAGGCCUACCAAGGCGACGAUCUGUAGCGGGUAUGAGAGGAUGAUCCGGCACACUGGGACUGAGACACGGCCCAGACUCCUACGGGAGGCAGCAGUGGGGAAUAUUGGACAAUGGGGGGAACCCUGAUCCAGCCAUGCCGCGUGUGUGAAGAAGGCCUUAUGGUUGUAAAGCACUUUAAGCGAGGAGGAGGCUCUUUUGGUUAAUACCCAAGAUGAGUGGACGUUACUCGCAGAAUAAGCACCGGCUAACUCUGUGCCAGCCGCCGCCGCAG